UAACUAGGAUUUCCUUAGUAGCGGCGAGCGAACAGGAAAUAGCCCAGCACUGAAUCCCGCCGUUGUAACGGCGGCGGGAGAUGUGGUGUUCGGGAGGUUCCGCUUUCUUGUCGUCGUCCACUCCUGUCCAAGUUCGUCUUGAACGGGGCCCAUUUCCCAUAGAGGGUGCCAGGCCCGUAGCGACGGMGGACUUCGGCGAGAGGAACUCUCCUCAGAGUCGGGUUGCUUGAGAGUGCAGCCCUAAGUGGGUGGUAAACUCCAUCUAAGGCUAAAUAUUACCGCGAGACCGAUAGCGAACA
This 299-nucleotide ribosomal RNA is filed under the name Malacodea regelaria. RNAcentral's name for it is "partial 28S ribosomal RNA". It matches the Rfam family "Eukaryotic large subunit ribosomal RNA", at positions 66 to 346 of the family's 3401-position model. Lineage: Eukaryota; Metazoa; Arthropoda; Insecta; Lepidoptera; Geometridae. The record is from RNAcentral.